Salvia splendens (bonfire salvia) is the source of this 398-nucleotide long non-coding RNA. RefSeq lists it as uncharacterized. The record is from RefSeq and is a predicted model, not a curated record. Lineage: Eukaryota; Viridiplantae; Streptophyta; Magnoliopsida; Lamiales; Lamiaceae. The transcript has 2 exons.
UUAAGAAAAGUUAGCAUUAUAACUUGUAUACAAGUUGACAUUAUAAAAGGUCCAGGUGGUUCAGGUCCACAUAAUCCAUUGUAAUUUGUCACCAUUUCUCUUCUCUCCCCAUUAACUCUUUGUCCUUCUGCUGUUCUUUAUUCUUUAACUUCUUCCAUCUUAAUAACACCCAGUGUUGUCAAAAUGGCGCUCGGGUCGCUCGGGUCGCCCGGGUCGAGACUGUCACCGCCCCAACAUGGGUGGGUUGAUCGAGGUACGGGGUCGCCGCCGGGUCGCCUGGGUCGAGAUACAGAUUUUAAUUCUAAUUCGGCCUCUACAAGCAGCUUGUACCACUUUAUCUACCUAUAGGCUAUAUGUAUUGAAACUUUAUUUGAUAUAUUGUAAACAUUAGAGUAAUA